Long non-coding RNA from Suricata suricatta (meerkat), 808 nucleotides. RefSeq lists it as uncharacterized. The transcript is spliced from 5 exons. NCBI's taxonomy places the organism in Eukaryota, Metazoa, Chordata, Mammalia, Carnivora, Herpestidae. The record is from RefSeq and is a predicted model, not a curated record.
AGCACACAUCCCAGAACCUUCUCAUUUGUGUCAAAUAUACAACAACUGCCUCACAGGAAAAGCAUGUCAUGAUUGACCUCAACAGACCUCAAGACACCCCUCUUGAAGGCAUGGAAUCCUAAGGUAGACAUGAAAUCAUUAUGGUAUAUGAACCUCCUGAAGGGAGCUCGACUCAAGAUUUGGGCCUUGUUACAAUGUCUUCAUGUUCUCUCUGCUGAGAUCCUACAACCUAACCUGCAGCUCGAUUCUUCCCAACUCUUAAGGUGAAGACUGGCUUGUCUUGCUGUGGCGACUUUUACCCCCAAAGAGAAAGCAUGGUGGUAAUAAAGAAGGUCUGACACGCUUUUUAUGAAAGUGCUUCUCUGCUAUGGCUGGGCCUCAGCUCUUAGAUCUCUGCCAGUUUCUUCUUUUGUGGCAUUAAUAACACAGGAAUGCUAAGUACAGAGCAGACGAGGGGUCAGAGGUGUGGAGAGGAGGAGGAAGCCAUAGAUCCGUCAUUAAUGAGCUGUCAAGAGAAUGAAUGAAAACAACAAGGCAGGCGUGACACAUGUGACCAGAGGAGUCAUGCCAGGUCCAGUCGGAUGGCUGCACUUAACUUUCAAGGGCAGAAGAAGAAGAAUCCUCCAUGUGGAUACAAGAACAAGAUACUGAAGCGUCUGAAUAACGUCUACCACAGGAGUGUAGCUGUGCCAACACAUUUGUACCUCCUUCAAGACUGAGGGAUGAUAAAACAUCAACUCUAGAUGGGCUAAGAAUAGUCACUCUACCUUUUCCUUGAAUUCUUUAAUACAGUAGCCACUGUCCACAU